GGGUUGUGUCGCCUACUGGUGUAGGCAACCGUCUGUAAAACGGUGGCUUUCAUGCAUCGCAGGUUCGACUCCUGCACGACCCA
This 83-nucleotide small RNA is filed under the name Microcoleus sp. FACHB-831. RNAcentral's name for it is "tRNA-Tyr". It matches the Rfam family "tRNA". Rfam says of the family: Transfer RNA (tRNA) molecules are approximately 80 nucleotides in length. Their secondary structure includes four short double-helical elements and three loops (D, anti-codon, and T loops). Further hydrogen bonds mediate the characteristic L-shaped molecular structure. tRNAs have two regions of fundamental functional importance: the anti-codon, which is responsible for specific mRNA codon recognition, and the 3' end, to which the tRNAs corresponding amino acid is attached (by aminoacyl-tRNA synthetases). tRNAs cope with the degeneracy of the genetic code in two manners: having more than one tRNA (with a specific anti-codon) for a particular amino acid; and 'wobble' base-pairing, i.e. permitting non-standard base-pairing at the 3rd anti-codon position. Lineage: Bacteria; Bacillati; Cyanobacteriota; Cyanophyceae; Oscillatoriales; Microcoleaceae. The record is from RNAcentral.